UNAUGGGCGAGAGCCUGAACCAGCCAGUAGCGUGAAGGAUGACUGCCCUAUGGGUUGUAAACUUCUUUUAUAAAGGAAUAAAGUCGGGUAUGGAUACCCGUUUGCAUGUACUUUAUGAAUAAGGAUCGGCUAACUCCGUGCCAGCAGCCGCGGUAAUACGGAGGAUCCGAGCGUUAUCCGGAUUUAUUGGGUUUAAAGGGAGCGUAGAUGGAUGUUUAAGUCAGUUGUGAAAGUUUGCGGCUCAACCGUAAAAUUGCAGUUGAUACUGGAUAUCUUGAGUGCAGUUGAGGCAGGCGGAAUUCGUGGUGUAGCGGUGAAAUGCUUAGAUAUCACGAAGAACUCCGAUUGCGAAGGCAGCCUGCUAAGCUGCAACUGACAUUGAGGCUCGAAAGUGUGGGUAUCAAACAGGAUUAGAUACCCUGGUAGUCCAAGGGCGAAUUC
RNAcentral lists this ribosomal RNA (441 nucleotides) under uncultured bacterium. RNAcentral describes it as "SSU rRNA". It matches the Rfam family "Bacterial small subunit ribosomal RNA", at positions 369 to 808 of the family's 1533-position model. The record is from RNAcentral.